RNAcentral lists this ribosomal RNA (1577 nucleotides) under Sessiliascus mackenziei. Its description in RNAcentral is "Peroneutypa mackenziei partial 18S ribosomal RNA". It matches the Rfam family "Eukaryotic small subunit ribosomal RNA", at positions 96 to 1086 of the family's 1831-position model. Lineage: Eukaryota; Fungi; Ascomycota; Sordariomycetes; Xylariales; Diatrypaceae. The record is from RNAcentral.
GCUCAUUAAAUCAGUUAUCGUUUAUUUGAUAGUACCUUACUACAUGGAUAACCGUGGUAAUUCUAGAGCUAAUACAUGCUAAAAACCCCGACUCGCGGAGGGGUGUAUUUAUUAGAUUAAAAACCAAUGCCCUUCGGGGCUCCUUGGUGAUUCAUAAUAACUUCACGAAUCGCAUGGCCUUGCGCCGGCGAUGGUUCAUUCAAAUUUCUGCCCUAUCAACUUUCGAUGGCAGGGUCUUGGCCUGCCAUGGUUACAACGGGUAACGGAGGGUUAGGGCUCGACCCCGGAGAAGGAGCCUGAGAAACGGCUACUACAUCCAAGGAAGGCAGCAGGCGCGCAAAUUACCCAAUCCCGAUUCGGGGAGGUAGUGACAAUAAAUACUGAUACAGGGCUCUUUCGGGUCUUGUAAUUGGAAUGAGUACAAUUUAAAUCCCUUAACGAGGAACAAUUGGAGGGCAAGUCUGGUGAGCGAACUAGCUUCUACUGCUGGCGCCAGAGAUAGUUCUCCUAAAAACUAUUCAAGCGCCCCGCGAAGUGCGGGCGGGCGCCGGCAAGGCAACCUGGAUACGGGGGAGGCUAAGGGGCGGACGCCCUACGCUAAUCCCGGGCAAAGCGCGUUGUGUACACAACACGCCUGCGUAGAGCGCGGAAAGGUGCCGGUCUCAUGCUGGGGAUGGGGCUCGAGGGACGUGCCAGCACCUUACGAAAGUAGGCCUUGCCACUAGAGUACCCGCCAUACGAUAGUGCAAGCUCAGGUGUAUUUCAGCGGCCAGCAGCCGCGGUAAUUCCAGCUCCAAUAGCGUAUAUUAAAGUUGUUGCAGUUAAAAAGCUCGUAGUUGAACCUUGGGCCUGGCUGGCCGGUCCGCCUCACCGCGUGCACUGGUUCGGCCGGGCCUUUCCCUCUGGGGAUCCCCAUGCCCUCCACUGGGUGUGGCGGGGAACCAGGACUUUUACUGUGAAAAAAUUAGAGUGUUCAAAGCAGGCUUAUGCUCGAAUACAUUAGCAUGGAAUAAUAGAAUAGGACGUGCGGUUCUAUUUUGUUGGUUUCUAGGACCGCCGUAAUGAUUAAUAGGGACAGUCGGGGGCAUCAGUAUUCAAUUGUCAGAGGUGAAAUUCUUGGAUUUAUUGAAGAUUAAUUAUUGGGAAAGCAUUUGCCAAGGAUGUUUUCAUUAAUCAGGAACGAAAGUUAGGGGAUGGAAGACGAUUGUUAAGUGCUGUAGCGGCAUUUGGUCGUCGAAAAUCAAGCAGCCGCUUGGUUAGUCCGUAGGGAGUACGGGGGACACCGUCAAAUUGCGGGGACCUCCUUAGAGCCCGUGCCACACCUUUCCCCUCGAAAGAGCCAGGGUCAGUCGUAAGAGCGCACGGGAUUGGCCAAUCCGCAGCCAAGUCCUCACUGCCCCCGGGCAAUGGAUGCAGUUCACAGACUAAAUGUCGGUGGGGGACGUCGGUAGAUGUCUCAUAAGUUAUAGUCGAUUCCGUCCUGAAAAGGUCGGCCUGAAGCAGAUACCGUCGUAGUCUUAACCAUAAACUAUGCCGACUAGGGAUCGGACGAUGUUAUUUUUUGACUCGUUCGGCAC